CAGUCGCCGCGGUAAUACGUAGGUGGUAAGCGUUGUCCGGAAUUAUUGGGCGUAAAGGGCUCGCAGGCGGUUUCUUAAGUCUGAUGUGAAAGCCCCCGGCUCAACCGGGGAGGGUCAUUGGAAACUGGGAAACUUGAGUGCAGAAGAGGAGAGUGGAAUUCCACGUGUAGCGGUGAAAUGCGUAGAGAUGUGGAGGAACACCAGUGGCGAAGGCGACUCUCUGGUCUGUAACUGACGCUGAGGAGCGAAAGCGAGGGGAGCGAACAGGAUUAGAUACCCCGGUAGUCCCUGUCUCUUAUAC
RNAcentral lists this ribosomal RNA (301 nucleotides) under uncultured bacterium. Its description in RNAcentral is "partial 16S ribosomal RNA". It matches the Rfam family "Bacterial small subunit ribosomal RNA", at positions 509 to 807 of the family's 1533-position model. The record is from RNAcentral.